UACGGAGGGGGCGAGCGUUGUUCGGAAUUACUGGGCGUAAAGCGCGCGUAGGCGGACUGCUAAGUCGGGUGUGAAAUCCUGGGGCUCAACCUCAGAAUUGCCUCCGAUACUGGCAGUCUCGAGUGCGGGAGAGGUGAGUGGAAUUCCCAGUGUAGAGGUGAAAUUCGUAGAUAUUGGGAAGAACACCAGUGGCGAAGGCGGCUCACUGGCCCGUAACUGACGCUGAGGUGCGAAAGCGUGGGGAGCAAACAGG
RNAcentral lists this ribosomal RNA (253 nucleotides) under uncultured bacterium. Its description in RNAcentral is "partial 16S ribosomal RNA". It matches the Rfam family "Bacterial small subunit ribosomal RNA", at positions 524 to 776 of the family's 1533-position model. The record is from RNAcentral.